Molecule: long non-coding RNA, 282 nt
Filed under: Nicotiana benthamiana
Lineage: Eukaryota; Viridiplantae; Streptophyta; Magnoliopsida; Solanales; Solanaceae
Description: long non-coding RNA (NBEN_LNC026825)
Source: RNAcentral
AAAUAUAAGUGACCCAAAUGAAUUUUUACCCCAAGUCCGACCCAACCCGACCCGCCUAAACCGACCCGACCUUAUAGACUUGCCUUUUAACCCCCAAACCCACUAACCUUCUUCAUUUUCACCGUAAACCGACCCGACCCUAUAGACUUGCUUUUUAACCCCCAAACCCACUAACCUUCUUCAUUUUCACCGCCUCAUAUUUUCUAACCAACAAUGGCGAUUCUGUAGGGUUUGCUGGAGCUGAUUUUGGAGGUCAACAAUCUGUGAUAUUGCUGUUCUUGG